GGGUGGUGGUGGUGACUUGUAAACUGGAGUUGGUGGUGAUGGUGAUUUGUAGACUGAGUGUGUAGAGAGUAGUAUGACUCCUUAGGUGGUGGUGGUGAAUUGUAAAUGGGAGUUGGUGGUGGCAGAGACUUAUAAACUGGUGCGGGAUUGAUAUAGCUCCUUGGGUGUGGAGGCGAUAUGUAGACUAGGGUUGGUGGAGGUGGUGACUUGUUGACUGGGUGUGUGGAGGGUAGUAAGGCUCCUUAGUAGUGGUGGCGACUUGUAAACUGUAGUCGGUAGAGGCGGUGACUUGUAGAUUGGGGUAUGAGGAGGGUAGUAUGGCUCCUUAAGUGGUUGUGGUGACUUGUAAACUGGAGUCGGCGAAGGUGGCGACUUAUAGACUGGGUGUUUGGAGGGUAGUAAGGCUCUUUGGGUGGGGGUGGCAACGUAUAAACUUGAGUUAGUGGAAGUGGUGAUUUGUAGACUGGGUGUGUGGGGGAUAGUAUGGCUCCUUAGGUAGUAGUGGUGAUUGGUAAAUAGGAGCCGGUGGAAAUGGCGACUUAUAGACUGGGUGUGUGGAGGGUAGUAAGGCUCUUUUGGUGGGGGUGACGACUUGUAAACUGGAGUUGAUGGAGGUGGCAAUUUGUAGACUGGGGUGUGUGGAGGAUAGUAUGGCUCCUUGGGUGGUGAUGGUGGUGACUAGUAAAGCGGAGUUGAAGGUGAUGGUGAUUUAUAAAGUGGUGCAGGAUGAUAAGGUGUUGGUGAAGGAUGGUAUGGCUCUUUUGGUGAUGGUGGAGAUAAAUAUUGAUAAUUUGCUGAGCUUUGGGAAGCCAAGCAAAGUGACACAAAAACCACUAAAAGAGUGGAAAAUAGAGAGGCCAUUUCUCCCAAAAAGAAACAAAGGAGAGAAGUUGUUGUCCCUUUAAGCUGCACUCAAAGCCCUUUGUAUAGCUUUCAUUUAGAAGGUAUAAGGCUAAAGUUAUGUAUUUUUAAUUAGUUUUGUCAUGUUGUCGGUUCAAUUUGACCUUUGUUGGUAUACUUUUUUUUUUUUGUUGGAUAGAAGGUGCAAGCUAAGCAAAGAAAUUAACUACUAUGGCAGCUAUACUAUUUAUGAUGCAAUAAUUCAAAAAAAAAUACGUGGAUCCCACAACUUCCCACAAGAUUUUAGUUAUAGGAAUCUGAGCACUUUUUUUUUACACUUAGGGUGUGUAUGGUACGAUGGAAAAUAUUUUCUGAAAAAUGUUGGUUGUAGUAAAAAAUAUUUUCUAAGAUAAUUCAUUUUUUCCUAUUUGAGGGAAAAUGACUUCCCUCAUGGACCAAGGGAAGUUAUUUUUCGGAAAAUGAUAAAUGUGACUUAUGCCCCCAUCCUCACCCCUCUUCCCACCCCAACAACACUCAUAUUCACAUAACUCAAAAAAUUCACAUUUUUAAAAAAUUUAUUUUACUCAAAAUAUUUUUCACUGUGCUUUGCUUCAAUUUUUCACUGCUUGAAAUAAAAAAUAGUGAAGCCCGACUUUUUUUCAUUUCCAAUGUUCGUUGAAUGUAUUGUUAUUUUCAUAUGCAUAGAGGAAGACUUACCUAUGUUACUUUUGCUAAUUGCAUAUUUUAUUUUGUCAUCGAUGUUACUUCUUUCACGAGGUUGAAUAAGCUUAUCGUCCCGUUAUAUUUCUAUUGAUUGUAGUAUCUUGAGAUUGUCCUGAAAAAAUGUUGAAAAGUGUCUCCUAUAUUUGCUAAUUAAUAGUUGCUUAAAUUUAGUGAUUGUAAUAUUUUAGUAUUCGAUAUUGAUAUUAUUUAUUAUGCUUAAAUUAGUUCUUACAAAUUGUUGAGUUGCUAGAUGCACUGAUAUACUAGUUAACAGUUAGUAGUAUUUUCUAAAAAAAAAAAUUUCACUCACCAAUCAAACACUAGAAAAUAUUUUUCUAAAAAAUAUUUUCUACUCACCAACCAAACACCAUAAAAUAUUUUUCGAAAAUAUUUUUCACUCACCAACCAAACAUGAGAAAAUAAAUAGAAAACCAACUUAUUUUCCAAGAAAACAUUUUUCAUGAAAAAUAUUUUCCAUCGUACCAAACACACCCUUAGUAUUUGAAGAAUUCAAUUCUUGUGGAUUCUGACAGCUUAACUAACCUUCACUUAAGUGCUGAGAAAUUUAAAACAAUAUGUAUACAGUAUCAUAUAUUCUUUAAAAGAAAUGAUAUGUCAUUGUUAAAAGAGUUUAAUCUAGAGAAAACUGUGCAUGUGACUCGCUUUCAUUACCAACUAAAUCAAUUAUGUUCUUUCCUUUUGUGUAGUAGAGCUAAAAGAAACAUCAACCGAUUAUUUUGUAGCUCAAUGUUGAAAACUUAUGUGGUUCAAUAUGAUAUCUCUGAAAAUUUUACAGCUUGUUUGAUAGCUGCUGCCUAAUAAUGUAUUGUAUCGUGUUGCUAGUUUAAAUAUAAUGUGUAUUUUGAUUGUUUCUUAAAUUUUACUGUAUCAUUAAAUCUAUAACUAGAUAGCAAUAAAAAGUCUCAUUUGGUGUAACGACCUAUUUGAUGUGAUCGCGUUGUUACCUUUUUUCCCCUUUUUAUUUAUUAUUUAAUUAUCUUAAUGCUCCUUUAUCCUAUAUUUUUAUAGUAACUCUACCUCACAUUUUUCUAUUUUCCUUCUAGGCUUAUCCUUGAACUGUUAUAUGAAGGAUGCAAUGUAAUGACGAAAAAGGUAUAAUAAAUCCAAAUAUCGUAACAUUCACUAAAAUAAUAAAGUACAUACAAUACAACAUGAUACUUUAUGAAACAAUAUCAUUCCAAGUUAAGGACUUGAUUAGAAUGUGCAUGUUAAGUGUCUGAUGGGUUACUUAAGUAUAAAGUUCAAGUCCAUAUAAAAAGAUAAACCCUAAUUAUAAUGCCUUCAUCAUGGCUGGUCGACAGUAGUCUACUACUGAAUUUCCUCCUUUGAACCCAAAUUCUAUUGUGAAUAUCCAAACCCUACCGUUGGAUAAAUCUUUUGUUGAAUCAAUCAGUACAACAAAGUUGGACACCGUCUCUCGCAAAGAGGUGGUCAUGGUGGAAGGAAUCCCGAAUGUCACACUGAAAAAAGUGGAUACAGUGAAUAAAAUGGAGAAUUUGCAAUUUGUUGUCAUAGGUAAAUUCACUUAAGAAUGGACGGGUAUAGAAGAAUUAAGGAAUAUUAUCCCACAGCAAUGCAACAUUAAUGGUGAUUGUCAAAUUGGAGUAUUCAGAAAUAAACAUAUUUUCAUUCGUUAGACACAGGAGUCGGAUUUUAUUAAUAUCAUCAUCUCAAAGGGAGCUUUUUCCUUGCACUGUAAGGAUGGGUUCUCUUAUUUGAUGCGAACACUCUCACACUUAUCUAUGAUCCCCUUUUCAAAGAAACUUUAGAGACUACAAAGACUUUCGCAUGGAUUUCUUUCCCAAAUCUAUUGCCUACCUAUUAUGUCAAGGAAUGUUUGUUUUCUUUAGCUGCAACAGUGGGAAAGCCUGUCCAACUUGAUCUAGCCACCAUUAAUAGGACUAGACCAAGUUGUGCAAGGAUUAAGGUCUUGGUUGAUCUAAAAGCUGAUUUCUCUAAAUCAGUCCGGAUGGAUAUUGAAAAUGAAGAGUCAGGUAAAUGCAGGACAAUAGUGAAGCGGAUUAAAUUCGACCAUAUUCCUAAGUAUUGUCAUGAAUGCAAUAUGCAAGUUCAUGCUAAGAAUCAAUGUAGAAACUUAGGCACCCCAGAGGAUGCAACAAUGGCAGUAACAGUGGAUAAUAAGGAAUAAAAGAGGCCAGUACAACAUCUUCCUAAAUUCACAAUGCCUUUUGUACACAAAUUUCAAAACGGAAAAGCAUGAGUUCUUUCGAGUGGGAUUGUAGUUGGAGAUCCUACUAACUGGAUGGUUAUUAAAAAUGAUAAGAGGAUAGUUAAUACUUCCCAACAGCCUCUUUUAAUGAUAUAGUUAAUACUUCCCAACAGCCUCUUUCAAUGACAAAUAACCAAUUUGCUGCUCUAGCUACCGACGACAAAGAACCUGCUGAAUUAAACAUUUCGACAAAGGAGAGUUCAAACCUUAAGGCAUGUACGGAUGUGUUCCAAAUAAUAAGGAAAAUGAAAAAGUUAAUCUGUGGUCCAAUAAAGAAUCUGCUAAAGAGUGGGUAUCAAGGGAUUUUGGCAAGCUAGGUGAAGUUCCCAAUUCUGUAAUACCUGUACAGCAACAAGGCAGUCAGCAACUAAGUAAUCAACAACAAAGGCAAGAUAGAGAUAAUAAUGCUAAAGAGAAUAAUAAAGAUGGUAAUGGGAUGGAGAAUGAUAUGCAGGUUAAAUCUUUAAUAAAUCAGGAGCAUAAUAUUGAUGAUGGUCAGCAACAAUGCCUCAUAGUCAAAAAGGACAAUCUGCAAUCUAUAGAAGAUGUGCAACCAGAUACCAAGCAAUAGUCAAUGCAGAUUAAUCAAGAUUUUUACAGUGGAAGCUAUGAUAAUGGAGAUAGGUCAGUUGAGGAAAGUGUGGGGAUAACAGUUGUGAUGCAAGGGGAACAAAAUGUGUGUUUAGAAAUAAUGGAGAUUCCAAAACCAGUGCAGAUAGAUGAAUCAUUUAUCGUUACCAAGAGUUCUCCCAACAAAGUAAUACAUGACAUUGUCUCUCAUAGUUUAGGGUACAUUAAAUGCAGUAAUCAAACUCACAUGGCCAAAGGAGUUAAAGAAGUAGAUGUAGAAGAUGAUUCGAAGGAUCAUGCUCCAUCGGAAGCUGAUUUAUCACCAAGACUGAUGAAAAUCUCUAAAAAAGGAUAAAAAAGAAUGUGGAUGGGAGAAAACUCACAACCUACCAGAGUUCAUCCUAAGCGAUCCAAAUCUGCCCUAAAUUAUCAAUGAAAGCACUUAUUUGGAACAUUAGGUCUGUGAAGACACAACAAGAUUUCAAAGACUUCAGAUGCUUAAUAAUUAUCAUAAGUUCACCGGUUUCAGUUUGUUAGAGCCUUUUCAGAAUGUUAGAUAUAAGAGAAGAUUGAAAAUGCAUAGGGCUAUGUCAAACUGCAAUAGCAAGAUUUGGUUUUUCUCCUCUCAAGAUGUGAUAACAACUGUUAUUAAAGACACUGAUCAUCAGCUACAGUUCACUUGCAGGAGUAGGCUCAGAGCUUAGAUUUAUUACUCUUGUUUAUGCAAAGUGUUCUAAAGAGGAGAGAUUAAUCUUAUGGAAGGAUAUUUAUCAAGUUGCUUCUGGAAUUUCAAAACCUUGGAUGCUAGGAGGAGAUUUAAUGUUGUUUUGAAUUCUGAAGAGAAAAUUGGUGGCCUUCCAAUUCUUGAUGCAGGCCAUGGGGACUUUCAAUCAUGUAUUUCUUAUUGUGAUUUGAUGGAGAUACCUUUUAAAGAAAGUUCUUUCACUUGGUGGAAUGGUAGAGCAGGUAAUGACUGUAUUUUAGAAAGAUUGGAUAGAAUUUUUACUAAUCAACAACAACAACAACAACAACAACAACAACAACAAACCCAGUGUAUUCCCACCUAGUGGGGUCUGGGGGGGUAAGAUGUACGCAGUCCAUACCUCUACCUCUGCUGAAUUUUUACUAAUCAAGAUUUACAAAAUAAGUUCAAUCACAUGAAGGUAGAACAUCUUGCUACUAGUUCAGAUCAUGCUCCCAUGUUGUUGUAUUGUUAUGACAGAGCUAUCAGUUACAAGAAAUCUUUUAGAUUUCUUAAGUUUUGGACUGAUCAUCCUAAGUUCCUAGAAGUAGUAAGGCAGAAUUGGUGUUCUUCAGGUUCUCAGAGUCCAUUCUUAGAUUUCAAAGCAAAGAUUAAGAGAAUUAAAGUUGCUUUGACAAGAUGGAGUAAAGAGACUUCUGGGGAUAUUUUUAAAUAGUUGAUAAUCAGGGAAGAAAUUGUCAAGAUCAAAGAGAAAUUAUUUGAGGAAUGCCCUACGGCUGAUAACAGCGAAGUGUUGCAAAGAGCUCAGUCCGAGCACAAAAUAUAUCUUCGUUUUGAAGAGAUUUUUUGGCAGCAAAAAGCAGGUUAUGACUGGUUUGAGAAUGGUGACAGAAAUAUUAAAUUUUUUCAUAGCACUGUGAAGGGGAGGAGGAAAAGAUUGAAUUUGAAUAGAAUUCAAAUUAAUCAGGGUAUUUGGCUGGAUAAAGAAGAAAAGAUAGCCGCAGAGGUUGUUAUGUUUUAUCAGGACCAAUUUAGACAAGAACAAGAGGCUAAUGUUUUUUCAUAACUGAAUAAUAUACCUAAGAGUAUUUCUGAUGAGCAAAAUAUUGUUUUAAGUCAGUAAGCUGAUCUUGAAGAAGUUAAAAAGGCACUUUUUAGCUUAAAUGAAUAUAGUGCAAGUGGCCCGGAUGGGUUAACAAGUAGGUUCUAUCAGGUUCGCUGGGAUAUUAUUGGUAAUGAUGUUCUUAAUCUGGUGCAAGAUUUCUUAAAAGGUAAUACUCUUCCCAAAUUCAUUAUUCAUACUAAUUUGGUGUUGCUUCCCAAGAAGGAUUUUAUUCAAUUUUUCUCAGAUUUGAGACCAAUUAGUCUUAAGUAAUUUUAUUAAUAAGAUCAUUUCUAGGAUUGUGCAUGACAAAAGUGAACUUCUUUUGCCUAGACUGAUUUCUUUUAAUCAAUCUAAAUUUGUCAAAGAGAGAAGAAUUAUUAAAAAUUUCCUCCUGACUCAAGAGAUAGUUACUGACAUCAGAAAAAUGGGUAAGCCGGCUAAUGUGGUCUUAAAGCUUGAUAUGACUAAGGCUUAUGAUAGGGUUUCCUGGUUUUUCCUGAUGAAGGUUCUAAGAAAAAUAGGGUUCUCAAAAUUGUUUAUGGACUUGUUUUGGAGAUUAUUGUCUAAUAAUUGGUAUUCUAUACUAAUUAAUGGGCGAUCACACGGCUUUUUUCACUCAACUAGGGGAGUAAAACAAAGAAAUCCUUUAUCUCCAGCUUUCUAUUUGAUGAUGCUCAAUAUGUAGGUUAUGAUAUGCCAAAGUGGAGUUCCAAUAUUAAUCAUCUUGCUUAUGCAGAUGACACUAUUAUAUUCGCUGCAGCUAACAGAUACUCUUUGAGAAAGAUUUUUUCAGUGUUACGGGAAUAUGAAACUCAAUCAGGGCAAAAAGUUAAUAAAGAGAAGAAUGCUUUCUACAUGCAUCAGAAUUCAGCUGCAGUUGAUAAACAAAUGGUGGAAGAUUGUGCGGCUAUUUCUAAAGGCCAAUUUCCUUUGAAAUACCUUGAAUGUCCUAUCACUCAUGCUAGAAAAAGAAAGAGUCAUUAUUCAGAGCUAAUUCAGAAGGUUAAGUCAAAAUUACAGGCUUGAAAAGGUAAUAUUCUCUCAUAUGGGGGGAAAGGAGGUCCUUAUCUCUAGUGUUCUUCAAAGUGUUCCUAUACAUAUCCUUUCUGUUGUUGUCCCUCCUAUUUGUGUAUUGAAGGAGCUUCACAGAAUAUUUGCAAAUUUUUUUGGAGUAAUAAGGCCGAUGGAAGAAACAAACACUGGGCUGCUUGGGUAAAGGUGUUUUUACCAAAACAGAAGGCAGUUUGAGUUUUAGAUCGAUGUUUGAGGUAUCUCAAGCCAUGUAUCCUAAGUUCUGGUGGAAGUUCAGAACUCAAAAUACUACUUGGUCCAACUUUAUAUGAGACAAGUAUUGCAAAAAGCAAAUACCUUCACUAGUUUAAUGGAAAGGUGGCUCGCAAGUAAGGAAGCAUAUGUUGCAAAAUAGGGAUCUAGUGGAGCAAUUCUUGUGGUGGAACCUAAAGGAGGUACUUCUACAGUUUGGUAUGAUAAUUGGACUCAACUUGGUCCUCUUUUCAAACACCAGGUAGAGGUCAUUCUUCUUUUCCAGUGAUGGAUAUUGAGGAAUUCAUGUUGGGCUCAGACUGGGAUUUUGAGAAUAUGCAAUAUCAUUUAUCAGAUAAUGUAGUAGAGCAUGUAAGAUUACAUUUGAGGCUUGUACGACAUCCUGGAGAAGGUGACAAGCCCUGGUGGAUUAAAUUUAGUUCUGGCAAGUUCUCGGUUAAAAGUGCUUGGGAAGAACGGAGGAAAAAAACGUUUGUAAUGAGUCAUUUCAGAAGAUCUGGGUAAAAGAGAUUCCUUUCAAAAUUUCUUACUUUGGUUGGAGAGUUUGGACAAAUAGGAUUCCUGUAGCCUCUGUUUUAGCUAAUUGGAAUCCUAACUUGUCUCCUCUUUAUUCAUAUUGUGUUUCAAGAAAUCAUGGAGCACCUCUUUCUAAAAGGUGAAGUGGUUUAUUUCGGUUUGGAUUUAUUACGCCAAUGCUGCAGGUAUUCUGGGGCCCUGGGUUCAAAUUAAACUAUCCAUAAAGAAGUGGUGGGAUAUAAAUGGUAAUUAAAGACAAAGAUUCAUCUUUCAGGUAGUUCCUACUCUCAUUUUGUGGUUUUUACGGAAAAGAAGGAAUGCAUUAGUUCAUGGAGGUUCAUACUCUACAGCCAAGGUUAUUUGGGAUAUUAAUGGUUUAAUUAAGAAAAUUCUCAGAAAGAAGUUUGGUUAUGAUCAGUUACCAUCUAGUUGGCCUCAAAUAGUUGCUUUUUGACUUAUUUAGACCUACAUUUUUAUCUAGAUGGAUAAGAUGGUAUCCCCCACCUAGGGGAUAGUGGAAAUAUAACACUGAUGGAACCUCGAGAGGUAAUCUAGGUCGAAUUUCAGCUGAUUUUUGUGUACGAAAUCAUGUAGGUGAUCUUGUGUAUGCUAAGGGUUUCUCUAUUCCAGAUUCCACUAAUCUGGUUGUUAAAGUCAUUGCUAUAGGAGUUGGUUUACAUUAUUGCUUAGAAAAUCAAAUUGUCAACAUUAUUGUGGAAUCUGAUUCCCUUGUAGUAGUCAACAUGAUUAAUGGAGUGUGGGAAAUUCCUUAGAGUGUGAUAAUGGAGGUCAACUCCAUUAAAGAUAUGAUGGAUUCUUGUUCAGCAAGAGUACAACACUCCUUAGGAAAGGGAAAUACUCUUGCUGAUUAUUUAGCUAACUUGGUUUUUCAUUUUGCAGGUAACUUUGAAUUCAACAGUUUUCAUGAAAUUCCAAGCGCAGGUAGGAAGAUUAUCAAUCUAGACAAACAAGGCAUUCCACAAAUGAGGAUAAGACAGUGUACAUCAACUAAUUCAACAAGGGAUGGAUCGCUACUGCAGAUUACAAAGUGAAUUUACAAACUCUAUUAGCAGUGACUAGUUACUGGUGAAUUUAGUGCAGUCUGAAUUAGUUUCGUUUGGUUAACAUACCAUGCACCUGUGGGAAUUUUUAGGUGUUACAUAGAGUAUAAACCCAGGACUCACUUAUACUAGUUGCUAAUUUCUAGGUAUAGAGUUUAUAAAAAUCAAGCACAAAUUUAGAGGCAUUUCAUAGUCUCAAAUCUGUUGAUGAGGAGAGGAUGGAGUACCCGGGACCUCAAAUUUAGCGGCGGAAGAUAGACAGGGUAUAAUUAUCAAGCAAUACAAUUCUUUUAUACAGAUUCCACUUCAGAGAAGAACAAAAAUAAUCAUUGCCAACUUAUGGAUUGCAAAGUGUCAAAAUACAAAUUUCAGCAUUUGGAGUAACACAAGAAGGCAAGGAGCAAGAUAAGUAUUAAUGGACAGUAGUGGUGAUUAACAUUCACUAAUACUGAUUGAUUUCUAAGUCAUACAAUUGAAAUGGGGGUUAAGGUGAACCUGUUAGUUCUGGAUCCUUGGUGGUGGUAUCAAUCUCCUUGAGGUUUAUUCCGCUAGGAAAAAGAGAGAACAGUGAAAUCAUUUUUUUCAUUUCACAGAUGAGUUUAGAAUAGAAAAAGGGAGGUGACUUACCAUAUCAUCUGCAAUAAAUAUUUAUUGAUUUGGAGCUGUAGAAAUUUAGUUGAAACCAAUUUCAUGAAGUUUGUAAGAGAUUAAAGUGUCUUAGUGAAAUUUGAUGGAUGUUCCAUGGCAAUAAUGGCUUCCACAACUUAAUGCAACAACCAGAUGAGGUUGGAGUAGCAAAGAUUGAAACCAUAGUUGCCUCUCCGUGAUGUCUUUCAGCUUUGAGUUUUAUCCACACAUUCCUUUUCCUGCUUACAUUUUCUGUUUUUGGUCUUUUCAGAUGUCUGGAUAUAUUUGUUGCUUUUGUUUUGGACCCGGGUCUUGCUUAACUUGGGCCAAUUUGUACAUAUCUUUUCUGCUCCUGAAUAAAUUGGGCUCUGGUCCAUCUUCAAUUAAAAAAAAGGAAAAAUGACAUGGACUGACCAGUUUAAAAAAAGGAAAUUUUGCAUAUAUACCGACAUGUUUACUCUUAAUUACCAAAAAUUUCAACAUUUUUCAAAAUCUCCAAAAAUUCCAACAUUUGACCUCUGAUAAUACAAGUUAAUCACAUUAGAUACAUACUGUUGAUAUAUGUAUCUAAUGUGAUUAACUUGUAUCAUACAUUAGAUAUAUGUAGGGUUACAUUAGAUACAUGUAGGGUUACAUUAAAUACAUGUAGGGUUAACUUGUAUCUCAAAAAUAGUCCCAAAUAUGAAAUGUUGGAAUUUAUGUAAUUUUUCAGAAGUAGGGGGAUUUUUAGAAAUUUUGAAAGUUAUGAUGUUUAUUUAUGUAAUUUUUUGUUAAAAAGAAAAAAAAUAGCCCACACUAUGAAAAUAUGGACAAUUGGAGCCAGUAGACCCAAUUUAUUUCCUGUUUUUUCAGUCAUUUGGCCCAAAACUAUUCUCCUUACACAAUUAAGGGGAUUAAAUACUCUUCACAGUAGGCUACUCUUAAAUCACUUUUCUUUUCAAACUAUACUUUCCCAAAAAAAUGUUCACCUCUAUUAUGUGUCGAUCAAUCUACUGUGUUUUGUGAUAACAAUUGAGUUAGUAGGGCACAUGCAGUCUCUAUACCCAAUUGAUACACUUUUGUACCAUAUUGAUACAUGUUUAUACCCAAUUGAUACUCUUUAUACUACAUUGAUACACUUUUAUACUCAAUUGAUACUCUUUUAUACUAGAUUGAUACACUUUUAUACCACGUCGAUACAGUAUGUAUAUUACAUAAAUACAUCUUUUACAGAGGAAAUUUGUGCAAGCAUAUACAGUAACAAUACCAAAUUAAUACAGUAAAUCAAAAUUAGUAAGUACGAACAUAAUUGAUACUCUUUAAAAUUAUAGUAUUAAUAGUACAUAAAGUAACAAAAAAAAAGAUCAAAUCAUCUUUCCAUCAAUUAUUGUUUUGAUUUAGUUCAUUCUUUCUCCUUAACGCUCUUUUAUAUUUCUAACUUCCUCUUCCUACCUUUAUUUUCUCUUCUUUUUUUCUUUCCUUCAUUACUAAGUUAGUUGUAAACACCCAUAUGAUGAAGUAUGUAUUUACUCUUGAGUUGAUGUCAUAUUUAUCCUACUAAGAAAAAUCACAGGUUCUGUAAGGAAUUGUCUAGACAUGGAGUACAUAUAAAAAUUUAUUCUGCCACUUGAAAAAAACCUGUAAAAAACUAAUUAAAUUCAGAUUUUUUGAGAUUUUAUACAAAAUUUAUGAAAUGAGAAAGGUAAAUUGGAGUAUCGAAAAAAGGUAAAGGAACAAAUAUUUAGGAGUUUGAAUGGAAAGGAAACUGGGAAUGAAAAGAAAAGAAAGAAAGGGAAAGUUACUUCAAGGAUGUUUUUGAUUUUGUUUAAGCGUAUGACAGUGAAGGUUAGUUAGUGGAAUUACUCUGUGUCUAUUUAUGAUGUAUUUAAUUUUGACUGCUAUUUUUUUAUAUUAUUUUAGUUUUAGGUGUUAUUUCUGUCAUUUGCCCAAAAAAAAAAACUUACUAUUUUACUACAAUUCUUGUUGGUAAGAAUACAUUAUUUCUUUUUUUUUUUUAGGGCAAACAACAUAAAUUUCGAGAAUUUGGAGCUUAAUUACAGAAAAUUCUGAUAUUUUGCAUAAUUGUUGAAAAUCUCAAUUUUGGAUCUGUUGAGAUACAUUAUUAGCUUCUGAUACAAUCAAAAAGAUACAUUUUUAACUUUGUAUAGAUAUAUAAUUAGCUUCCGCUACAUAUUUUUUAAAUUUUGCGUUUGUUGAGAUAUAUAAUACAUCCAAUGAAGAUAUAUUUUUUUCUUUGUAAAGAUAUAUAAUUAGCUCCCAGUGCAGUUUUUUUAUUUUUGGGUCUGUCGAGAUACAUAAUAAGCUUUCGAUACAUCCAACGAAGAUAUAUAAUUAAUUGAGCUUUUUGUAGUUAUUUUGUAAGAGUGAAAAUUUUGUAUAAAUAUAAUAAGUUAAGAUGUAUAUUUAUACUAUUUUUCCAUAAUUUGCUUGCGAACCAAAUCGACCACUAAAGAAUUGAAAAGUUAAACAAUUUGUUCCCAAUACAGAACAAACUUUAGCCUAAAAUUUAAUGCUAAAAAUUACUACAAUGAGCUGAGUGGCUGAAAUGGUGCCACUUAAGAAUAAUUUGGUGGAUGAAAUGAAUGAAUUGUUUUGGAGUACAAAUUUUGAUUUAGACAAUCUAUUGAAAUUUAUUAUAGUACUGUUUAUAUUUAGGGGCCAUUUUUCAGGAUCUAUGAAAAAUUUAUAAUGUUGAGUAGAACAUACUAUAAAAGUAAUGUUGGAUAGAGCAUAUCACACAUUAGCACAAUCCUAAUCAAUAAUGAUAGCUAUUCAUCUCUAGUUCACUUUUAUAGUUAAUCAAAGAAUUAUUAACAACGAAAAUUAAUUUUCUUGUUUUGGUUUUCUAUCAUUGAAUCAGCAAUAGUUUGAUAUAAGAACUAUUCAGAACAGACUAAAUUAAAGAGAAAGAUGGAAUACCGUCAAUGAAAAUAAUAGGAUAUGAUAUCUUCAAAGAUAAAGAAGGCAGUGAACUUUUUACACAUAUAAUACGUAUAAUUAUUAAAGAAUAUAAAAGAAAUUAAAAAAAGGACAUACAGUACAUAUAUAAACUGGAAAAGAAGAUCAAUAAUGUAAAAGUUUGAUGUUAACACUGUUCCUUAAUUAAAAUUUCCAUAAUGAUUAUACUCGCUAUUUUCUUUCAUUUGCACAAAUCAAUAUGCUCCUUUCCCCCCUUUUUUUCUCCUGAUCACUCCUUAAAGAACGAGACAUAUAGCAUACAUAGAGAAGAGAGUACUUUGUCUCCCUCAAUAAAUACCUUGAGAAAAAAAUGUAACUCAUUAGUAGUUUCUUGAUUUUGUAAAAUUUUCUUUAUUUAAAAAAGAGUAACAUUGGAAGAAGGUCAUUAGUAUCUUUUUUAUUAUCUAAAACAACAUUUAUUAUCUUUUUUAUUAUCUAAAACAACAUUUAUUAGGAGCAAAAUAAAAAAGCUAAACAACCACUUAUUAGAAACAGAGGGAGUACUAAUUAUCUGAUAGUGUUUUCAGUGUUACGCAUCAUGAACUAAAAGCUUAAUUUAAGAAGCAUUGACUGCUUAAUGAAAUCUUUUAAUUCACAAUGAUAAUAAGGAAAUCCAAUUUGUGUUGUAUCAUUCUAGCCUUUCCAUUUUUUAUGGAGACAAAGCAUUAAUAGACAAAUGGAGAUUGGACAUAUCAAGAUUUCAGUCUCAUCCUGUCAAAUCAUUAAUUGUAAAACCUUCAUGUAUUUCUAUGUUCAGCCUAAGAUAUUAAGGGGUUAAUAUUCUUUCAAAACAUGGAGAGUUUCUGAUAUUGGGAGACAUGGUUGUUUGUCGAAUAUAUUUAUUUCUCAAUAAUUGAAAUAUAUAAUUGUAUUUGAUGUGAAGAAAGUAUUAGUUAAAAUGCAGUUUGGUUCAUUUUGGCUAGGGAUUCCAUCCUUUCCAUGUAUAAAAGUUUUUGAAUGUAAGGAUGAGAAAUCAAGGUAUCUGCUACACUUUUUUUAUAUAUACGUGUAGCGCAUGUAUCGAGAAAUUAGUAAAAGAAAAAAAAAAUUCCUCAGCUAAUUCUCAAUCAACACCAACUCCAUCUUAGGAAAGUGUGGUUGGUUCUGUUCUUCCUCGAAUUCAAUGAAUUUUUGUCAUAUUGUCAUACAUAUAACGAAUAAUAUAUAUAUNNNNNNNNNNNNNNNNNNNNNNNNNNNNNNNNNNNNNNNNNNNNNNNNNNNNNNNNNNNNNNNNNNNNNNNNNNNNNNNNNNNNNNNNNNNNNNNNNNNNNNNNNNNNNNNNNNNNNNNNNNNNNNNNNNNNNNNNNNNNNNNNNNNNNNNNNNNNNNNNNNNNNNNNNNNNNNNNNNUAUGCCUCUUUUCCUCUUUAAAUUUUAAAGUAAUAAUUAAGAAGAAAAAAGAAGAAGAUACUAUUCAAUAAUUUAAUUCUGAUACCAUCAACAUGGAAGACUCCAUUUGCUUCAUCUAACAAUGGACUUUGGCAUUAUAUAAUUAACAAAACAAUUAAUUAUUAGGAUAACUUAAUCACCGACAAAGGUUUCUUACUAUUAUCCUUAUGAGAUUCCACUAGUUAAGCUAAAUAUUUUUAAUCGACGUAAGAGUUAUGAAUGUAUAAACAAGUAGAUCUUAGCUACAUUGACCUAGUCAAUCAUUAUUAUUACCGACAUAUUUAUGCUAUACAAAUAUUUGUCCUAAUGCUAUCUUUUAUUUAUUUUUUUAAUGGAAAAGGGUCAAAAAGAUUCCUGAAUUAUUCGAAGUGGAGCAAAAAUAUCCCUCAUUAGUUUUUUGUCUCAAAAGUAUCCCUCUCUAAUGAAAUAACACCAAGCAUGUCAUGUAGACAAAAUACGUCACUUGAACAGUUCACGUCAGAUCGACCAUCUUUAUUAAAGGUGAAUGCUCCAUUAAAUGAGAGAUUUUCCAUGUGGAUAUUGGCGCCUAGCGUGGACUGUUCAAGUGGCGCUUUUUGUCCACGGACAUACUUAGUAUCAUUCUGUUAGAGAGAUGAAUAGUUUUGAGCCAAAAAUUUAAUGGAGGAAUAGUUGUAAGCAAAAAAAUUAACGAAAGAUAUUUUUACUUUAUUUCAAAUAAUUUAGGAAUAUUUUUAAUCGUUUUUUGCUUUUUUAUGAUUUCUAAGUUGCUUAUAAUUUUUUUAUUACUACAUGAUUAACAAUAUUUUUUUAUUUCCAUAAAUAACAGAGAGUAAACUAAGUUGCACCUUAAUGGUCGAAAAGUAUUCACUAUUUUUUUUAGACUUAAAGAGGUGAUUCUGAUACAUGUCUUAUGAACAAUCAUUACAAAUUUUAUUAUUUUAAAUUUUGUUUUAGAUAAGUCUAUGAUUAAGUUGUUGGUGACCAAUUUAUUCAAUUGAGUGAGGCUGGCAUGUCCAAAGAUUUUAGGACGAAGAAACGGGUUAUUAUGUUAAUUAGGUAGAUUUAUUUUAGGGAGAAAUAAGACAUAUGCUUUAAUUUGUAAAUAUUAAUAAGUAUUUUUCCAUUUAAGCAUAGCUUCUUUUAAAUUUAAAUUAGUAAUCAAACAGUGUUUAGUAGUAUUUUCUACCUUGUUGGCUUUGUCACACAUUUGAGAGAUGCUAAAAAUGUGUAUUAAAAAAAAAAUAAGAUGGAAAGAGAAGCAUACUGGCUCAAAGGUAAAGCCGCUAAAACGUGCUUUAAGGUUCAAAAAUAGUAUUUUUAUUAUAUAAUUAGUCUCUCCUAUGUUUUACAGUUUAUAGUCUAUAUGCAAUAAAUCAAAUUCUAUUAUAUAAUUUUUUAUAUAAAAAUAAAAGUUUCUUUAAAGUUAUUAAAGGAUGUCCAUUUGUUGUAAUAAAAUACAUUGAUUUUGGUUCUCAGAAUCCUAUUGGUACAUAAUAAACUUUGGCUAUUUUAAUUCAAAGUUUUAAAAUAUCAAAUACAAUUCUAUAAUCUUUAACUAAAAAUUUAAAAAUAAGAUUAUUAAACUUCCGAUGAUAUGAUUGUAUAAGAAAAUAAUAAACAUUUUAAAAUGUUAUUGUAACUUUAUAUAAUACAUGUAACAGUAUUUUUCUAGUGAUUAUAAGAAGAAUUUUAUUGAAAAAUCAAACGUAAUUGUAACUUGCGGUAUUGAAAGUAAAAUUUGAUGGCGAGGAAAAUAUGAGUCCAUUCUUAUGUCAUUAAAAUUUAUAAACCUUUUUAUUAAGAUGACUUGAAAAUGGUAUUUAACUAUAUAUAAUUUAUAAUUUUUUAAUUAUCAUAAAUAAAAUAUUUCAUUUUCGUGAUAUUUUAGUUUGGAUUGCUUUCUAUCUAUCAUUAAUGACAAAAUACAUCGUCAGACCCCUUAAAUUGACACCAUUUUUCACUUUGGCAUCUUAAGUGGACAUUGUUCACCUUUGGCAGUUCAAAUAACCAUAAAGUGUAUCAUUUUGACAUCUUUCGACAUCAAUAAAAGUGUGUGUUACACUCACUGUCAACGUGGAUAAAACGGCCAACUGAUUUAUGCCAAUUCAUUUAAAUUGCCACAUCAUUAUUUAUAUUCACAAUUAGUUUUAAAAAAAAUAAAAUCAAAACAUAUGGCAAUUAAUGACAUAAUUAUCUAACUCAUUAAUAUAUAUACAAAAUUAAAUUAAAAGAAUCAAUUAAUUACUGACACGUGACAUUUUUCAAAAUAAUUAUAAAAUUAUUUAUUUUAUUUGGACAACCCUCCACCCACCUCCCACCCCCAAACUCCAAAGUCAUCUUCUCUACCACCAUCUAUCCCCCCGAUACCCCCCACCCUAAAUCAUCUUCUCUAUUUGGCAACACCCCUCUUCCCGUCAUGUUCUCCAUCUCCCUCCCCCCCCACCACCCCCAACCCCUGCCUGAGUCAUCUUAUCCUCUCCAUUUGCCCCUUUGAAAAGAUGAACACUCAAUCAAAGAUUAUAGUAUAUAUGUAUAUCAAAGACCUUGAUUAGUCAUAGCUUGACCUCAAAAAUUAGAAGGCAUUAAAUGACUGUUUUUUUUCUUAACAAAAAAUAAAAAAGAAAUGAUUGACCUUGAAAUAUAUUCAUCAGUAGUAUGUGUGAACCUAUUCUUUGGCAACGCAGUGGUCUUCUUACUACUUCAGUUGCAGUCAUAACAUGUUGACAAAGAUGGUGAUUGCUCAACAACAAAUCACUCGUUGUUGUUAGUGUGUUAGUGUGUUUCGUUAUUCUUGAAAAGUUCAACCUCCAUUAAUGGAAGUUAAGCUAAAGAAAGGUUGUGUGAAGAAGGCAAUGUGAGGAAAUUUUUUGUAAUUAUUUGGUCAAUAAAACAUGUGCCAUUAAUUUAUUGGAUCAAUUUUUACUGAUUUGGCAAUAGAGAUUUUCAAUAGUUUUAAAAAAAAUUUAAAGAUGAAAAAUUACAAAAAUAUCCCUAAAAAUUUAUGAAAAUACUCUUCAAACGCUCCAAAAAGUGAGCAACGUCCACUUGAAGUGCCAAAAUGAAAGAUAGCACCAAGUUGAGGACCGACAAUAUAUUCUUUCUUCAUUAAUUAGUGCAUGUACUACUCCUGUACUCCAUUGGUUUUGAUUUUUUCUUGUUCCUGCACAUUAUUUCUCCUUUUUUACUGUCUAUAUAGUACUAUUUUUUAACUUAGUAUGUUGAAAUUAAUUAUUUUUUAUUUGCAUAUGAAAAAGAAAUACUUAACUAGAUUGAUUCUUAUUCGUAUAUAAAAAGUUAAAAUAGUGAAAUUCAAGAAAAAUAUAUGAAUUUUAUAUUUGGCUUUAGAUGGCUAAUUAUAUUAAGCCGCCCUUGAAGGGACGGUGAAUUGUAAUAUUUUUUGUGGUUGACUAUGAGGCGAGCUAUAAUAUGAAAUCAAAUAAGUAACAUAGUAUAAUUAUGUGCUAAGUAAUGUGUCAUAUGAUAUUUUUCAAUUGAUUUGAAUUCAGUGUGAAUUAUAGUUAGUCCUUCCUUUUGGAUUUUUGUUAAACUGAAAUUUUCAUUUUUAUUACAUAGAGAGAGAAGUUAUAAAAAGGAUGAUUACAACGUGUUGUAACUUUUCAGGACGAAGAACAACAAGUCAUUGUUUUAUUAAAGAGGGAUUGUCCCUUGUCCAUAUCAGCUUUCAAGAAAAUAACAGAACAAAUGUUGAAUCUACUACUAUGAGAAAUUCAUCAUUUGUUUUGUUGGAGUUAGCCAAUGUCUGCUUUCUCCUUCCUAAUCCUAAAAUUAGCCAAACCAACUUUAUCCAACCUAUAAGUCCUUUAUAUUCAUCAUUAAGCUCUUGAAAUUGUUGUUGAGUACAAUGUUGAGGGUGUACUUAAUUUCUAAUCAUACAAUAGCGGUCUUUUUCACUCUUUGUAGUUGAUAUAUUGCCUCACCAAACACUAUUUUCCUCUCUUCGCUCUUUUUAAAUACACAAUAAAUGAAUUAGGAAGUUACAAUGCUUGUUAAGAAUAGCAUAGAGCUUUGGAGAAUGUUUGGACAGGAUGUACAGUUUCUUUUCCUAGAAGGCAUAUAUAGUCUUUGUGUGCUUGAUGUCUUGAAAAAGGAUAGAGAAAGACAAUCCAUACUACAUGAAAAAUAUUGAAUUGAGACAUAAUAUUUAUCAAUGGACAAGUCUGGCAUAGAGUUUAAACGGAUUUGUGAUAGAAUUAACUAAUUUAUAGUGUUGAUUUUAAUUUUUUCAAAAAUAAAUCAUAAAAUAGAUUGCCUAGCUUGACGUGUUAUGUGAUAUUAUGCAUAGAUUAAGUCCAUUGGAGGUUGUCUGAUUAGAGAAUCGGACAAUGCUUAGCAUGGGAAUUUCAUUGAAUAUGGAGCUAAGUGAGACUUUAAUCUCUCAUUUACUUGCUUUUUCAAAAGCAUUAUUUAAAACUGAGAAAUCGCUUCAAACUACUCCUCCACCCCAUUUUAGUUGGGCACAUUCUAUUUUAUACGGUGAUUAAGAAUCAUAAAUUGAAUGAUAAAUUUUACGAUCUUACCCUUUACUCAUAUUAAUGUUAUUCGUUGGGCAUAAGAAUGAACAUUGAAAUUGAAAUUGUUAACAUUUAAUAUAUACUAAAAAUUGUAGGGGAAAAAUAAAAAAAUAAUUAAUUUUAUCCUAAUUUAGUAAGUGGUCUUUUUUGGUGGGCUGAAACGCAUUAAAAAGAAAUAGCGGAGUAUUACAGUAGCACCUGGAUUAACCAGGAUCUACAAAAUUUGAGUUUGAGCUUAUGCCCUCUAAUGAAACAUUACAACACCUUGUUUGCCUAAUGAAACUAGUUCCUAGGAUGUCAGCCCAGGUAGCUUUGCAGCAUACAUUGGAGGAAUUACAAAAGAGUUUCUCUGUCCACAAACUUUCAGUCUUGCUCCUUCCUUAGCUAAUGCAUCCUUCACCAUAUUCUGCUCUUUAUAGCAGUGCUGGAUUUGUGGUCGUCCCAGACUCCUGAUUAGCAACCUGCAUCCAUUAAUUAUGGCAUUAUAGUGGAGGUUUCCCUCUUUGAGCAUAAUAAUAACCUUUUUCGAGUCUACAUUGAUGUCCACGGGAACUAAGGACAUUUCCUCCAUAAUUUUUAGUCCCUUUAGUUGAGCAAAGAGCUCCAUCUGGUUAUUAGUAAUCACAGGGAAAACUUUUUUGAAACCUGUAGUCCAAUUCCCUUCAUUGUCUCUAAUAACCCCUCCAAUACCACCCCUACCAGGAUUUCCCAAACAUGAGCCAUCAGUGUUAAGUUUAAAUCUUUCUUUAGAGGUUGGUUCCCACUUAACACUAAUGUUCAAUAAUCUAUUUGUCACGACCUGAAUCAAGGUCUGGCCGUGAUGGGCAUCCCUAGCCAACCAAGGUCGGAGAUGACCCCUAACCUUACCUCAAGAGCACAUCAGUAAAAACAAACAACAAAAUCCAACCAAGAUAAAAAGAGAAACAUAUGAUUCCAAAAGAAAGUUAAGAGUCAAAACCAACUCCAUAAUAAUAUCCCGACACUGCCUACAAAAGUCUCUAAUCCAAAAAUACCAACUAAGUCAAGACAUGUCCCCGACUAUAACAAAAGAAAUUCAAAAGUUCUGAAAUGAUAAAUGUAACUAAGAAAGAGGCCAAGUCUUUUGAUAGUUCAUAAGUUGGUUGAACUUGUGUUGAACUUAUUGUGGAUUAAAUACAAAUUUUGUACCCAGAAUAACAAUCUUAAGGAAUUUAUUAAUAAUUUUAAUUUUUGAGUUUCUAGAGAUUAAAACUUUUUGCUUUCUACGCUGUUUGAACUUUAUAGUGAUUUGAAGUUAUAAAAACUUCAUCACGGGUUAAUGUUCAUUCAGUUGAUGAUUAGAAGAACAUAAAAGCUUCAACAUUAAACUAGAAAUAAGUUGUUUAAAGUUUUUAAAACUUUAUUCUUAGUAUUUUGACUUACUAAAUUGGUUGUCUUUUUGUCACAGUAAAAAUGAUUAUUGAAAAUCAAGUUAAUGAUGGAAUGGUCAAUGUCACAACAACAAAUAUUGCUACUUAAAAUCGUUCAAAUGCUGCUCCGCCAAGGCACUGACAGAAAAAUCAGAAAGUUUUCUAGUGUGGAUUUUAAAAGAUGGCAGCAGAAGUUGUUCUUUUAUCUGACUACAUUAAAUCUACAAAGGUUCAUCACUGAAAGCAUUUCAGAGUUUUCGAAAGAAAUAUCCAAAAAUAUACUUUAUUACUACAAAAGCUUGAAAGCACUUGAAUUUUUUAUAUAAGAACUACAUACUGAGUGGCUACAACAUGGCAUGUACAAUGUGUACAGCAAUAUGAAGACCUCUAAGGAACUAUGGGUAGCUUUGGAAAAGAAGUACAACAUAGAGAAUGCAUGAAUGAAGAAAUUUAUUAUUGCAAGAUUUGUAGAUUUUAGGUGGUAGACAGUAAUACUGUAGUUACCCAAGUUCAAGAACCGCAAGUCAUCAUUCAUGAUCUCCUCACCAAAGGUAUAAAUUUGUUCUUGAUACUUACAUAGUCUCUGAUGUAGGCUUAAUUGUGAACGAGGCUUAUCAAGUAGCUGCUAUAAUCGAGAAGUUACCACAUUUGUGGAAAGACUUCAAAAACUACUUAAAGCACAAGCACAAGGAGAUGUCUUUCGAAGACCUUAUUGUGAGGUUAAGAAUCGAAGAGGACAAUAAAGCAUCAGAAAAGAGGUCUCGAUGGAAUUUACAAUAAGUAGAGAAAAUAUUGUGGAAGACGACCCCCAAUAAAUUAAAGAGAGAAAGGAAGCGUCAGGACAAUAAGGCAAUCCUCCUAAGAAGAAAUUCAAAGAAAAUUAUUUUAACUGUGACAAAGUUGGCCACAAGUCUUCAGAUUGUCAGGCUCCUAAGAAGGACAAGAAAAGAGGAUCAAGCUAACAUGGUUGAAUCCAAGAUGAUGUGGAGAUCUAUGUGCUAUGCUUUUGGAGUGCAUGUUGGUUGAAAAUCCUAGAGAGUAGUGGAUUAAUUCAGGUGCCACUAGCCACAAUGUGCCAACAAAAAAUUAUUUCCAUUAUAUUUUCUGGCUCAGGCUAAUGAGAACAUAUUCACGGUAACUCUGUUACGGUAAAGAUUGAAGGAAAAUGCAAGAUUUACUUGAAGAUGACAUUGGGCAAGGUGGUGACACUAAACAACGUCCUUUAUGUUUCAAAGUUGCGAAAGAACUUAGUUUCUACUUCACUUCUAACUAAAAAUAGAUUCAAAUAAGAAUUUGUUUCUGACAAAGCUGUAAUUAGUAAGCAAGAAGUGUAUGUAGGUAAAGGUUACUUCAUCGAGGAUUUUUUUAAGAUCAGUGUAAUAAAUGUUGAAAUCAAUAAAAAUUCUGUUUCUUCUUACUUACUUGAGUUAAAUGAAUUAUGGCAUGAACAUUUAGGACAUAUUAAUUACAAAACUUUGCAAAAACUGAUUAAUUUAAAAAUUUUGCCUAACUUUGAGUGUAAUAAAUCAAAUUGUCAAACAUGUGUGGAAUCUAAGUAUGCUAAGCAUCUAUAUAAGUCUGUUGAAAGGAAUUUCAAUCCCUUAGACUUAAUCCACACAAAUAUUUAUGCUAUGAAGUCAAUACCAUCUCAUGGUGAGAAAAAGUAUUUCAUAACUUUUAUUAAUGAUUGCGCUAGAUAUUGUUAUUUUUAUUUGCUAAAUGAUAAGAAUAAAGUAAUAGACGUAUUUUGGUAAUAUAAAACUAAAGUUGAAAACCAGUUGGAUAAAAAGAUCAAAAUAAUAAGAAGUAAUAGGAGUAGAGAGUAUGUAUCUUCUUUUGCAGGGGUAUGUUAGAAAAAAGGAAUUAUCCAUCAAACUAAUUUCCCGUAUUCACCUCAAUCAAAUGGGAUUGUGAAAAGAAAAAUUGAAUGUUAAAGAAAAUAAUAAUUGUCUUACUCAUAAGUUCAGAUAUACCGCAAAACUUGUGGGGGGAAGUUAUCCUUACAGCAAAUCGAAUACUCAAUAGAGUUCCCUAUAAGAAGACACACUCUAUCCUAUAUGAAAAUGAAAAGGAAGGAAACCCAACUUGAAAUAUUUCAAAGUGUGGGAUUGUCUAGCUAAAGUCCAAGUCUAUAUACCUAAAAGGAUAAAAAUAGGACCAAAGAUUGUGGAUUGUGUGUUCAUCGUAUAUGCUACAAGGAGUAAAGCAUUUCAAUAUUUGGUUCAUAAAUUCGAACCAUGAAAAUACGAUAAUCUGAAUCAGAUAAUAUUAAGUUCUUUGAAUACAUUUAUCCGUAUAAAAUUGGACAUGAGAUGUCUAGUGGAGGAUCUAAACAACCUCGAGAUGAACCAAAGGAGAAUGUACUUAAUAAUGAGAAUCAAGGUGUAGUACACGUCAAAUACCGUCAAUUUUCUUUGGAUAAGAUUUUGUAACAUUUCUUCUUGAAAAUGAGCCUUAAAAAUUGAAAGAAACGAUGUCGUCUUCAGACCCAUCCUUUUGGAAAGAGGCAAUCAAUGGUGAUAUAGAUUCAAUCUUGAGCAACCAUACUUAGGAAUUGAUUGAUCUUUCUCCGGUAAAUAAACCUUUAGGUUCUAAAUGGAUCUUCAAAAGGAAAAUAAAAGCUAGUGGUACUUUUGACAAUUAUAAGACAAGACUUGUUGUGAAAGAUUUUAGACAAAAAGAAGGCCUUUAUUAUUUCGAUACAUACUCGCCAAUAACAAGGAUAACGUUCAUUCAGAUGUUGGUUGCGUUGACGACAGUAUAUGAUGUUGAAAUUCAUCAAAUGGAUGUGAAUACAACGUUCUUAAAUAGAGAAUUGAAGGGAGAAAUUUACAUAAAACAACCUAAGGGUUUUGUAGUUUCUGGUAAAGAAAAGAAAUUGUGCAAACUUGUUAAAACACUUUAUGGAUUAAAACAAGCACCCAAAUAGUGGUAUAUAAAAUUUGACCAAACCAUGUUGGCAAACGAUUUCAGGAUAAACGAAUGUGAUAAAUGUGUUUACAUUAAAGACACUCCAAAUCACAAAGUCAUUAUUUGUUUGUAUGUGGAUGACAUGUUGACCAUCAGUAGAGACAUUCUAACAUAAAUGCUAUGAAAUAAAUGCCUGAGGGCAAGUUUGAUUUGAAAGACCUUAGAGUUGCUGACGUAAUCUUAGGGAUAAGAAUUUUUAGAACUCCAUAGGUAUUGGCGUUGUCACAGUCGCAUUACAUUGAAAAGGUGUUUGACAAGUUCAAGCAUUUAGAUUUCAAUAUUGUUGAGACUACAUUAGACAUGAGUUUUGCAUUUCAAAAGAAUGAAGGUGAAAGUAACUCACAGUUGGACUAUGCAAGAGUGUUGAAAAGUUUGGUGUAUAUAUCAUAAAUUGUACGUGAGAAGACAUAGAAUGCACUAUUAGUAAAUUAAGUCGGUAAAAGACUACUCCUAAUCAAACUCAUUGGAUGGAUAUGAAAAAAGUUUUAGGGUAUCUAAAACAUACCCAAGACUAUGUUUUUAUUAUAACAAAUAUCCAGCGUAGAUGAGGUGACUUUUCAAAAUAAUGUAAUUUUUCGUGAACCAUUACUUUCUUUCUGAAGCACCACAUUGUGGCUAUAAAUGCCUGAAUUUUUCCUCUGAUAAAGGUAUGAAGAUUUGAAGGGAAAAACAUUUUCUUUUUCUUCUUAAAACUCUGGUAUGAUCUUCAAACUAUUGAGUGAGUUCGUUGUUCAGAAAAUUUGAGGUACCACUAUUUUUUGAAGAGAAUCAUUUUUCGUAGGGAGGAUAUAUUCCUUUAACCUCGAGUACUUGACUAGAAUAAUUUUUUUAAGGAUACAUCGUGAAUUCAGUGGAUUUGACUCAAUCGUUUCUGUCUUCAUCCCAUUUUCUUAAAGUUGGUUUUAUUAUUUUUCCAGAAAAAUAGUUUGAACAUUAUAUUGAUAGUUCUUCAUUUGUUUGAACUUGUGUUUGAAGUUUUUGAAACUUCAUUUUGAUAGGUUAUAAGUUGUUGAACUUGUGUUGAAGUUAUUGUGGAUUAAAUACAGAUUUUGUACAAAAAAUAAUACGAAAUAGCUGUGAAACCUUGGGGAGCGACCAACUAAAAGAAUUUGCACCGAAGUCGAUCCGAAAUCACUUUCAAAGUAAUGGCUUACCACGACACAAUAUUUUCAGUUCCAUAUUAAUAUUAGAGUAAUUUUUCCAACAAGUGGCAAAGUUUGUUAUUUAACUACAAAAUUUGUUCGUCAACAAAUCCUUGUUUUUCUUUUGUUGGGUAGUAUAUUUUGGUUUUAUCUAAUCAAUCUAUUGACAAGCUAAGCGCCUACGAAAACGAUGUAGAUGUUCUACCUACGGGGGCGGGGGGGUGUCUAUUACAAUUACAAAAAUAAACUGAAUGUUGAGUUUCAGUUCCACUAACACCUUGCAAAAGUGAAUUACCCAUGAAAGAUGGGGGUAUUAUAUCAAAAAAAAAAAACAUAUCUUUUGUUGUUUUCUAAUUUCUAACGAUAUAUUUUUGAUCCAUUGCUUUCCCAUAGUAUGCUAACUUGACAGCCACUUUUUUUUGCUUUUCUAUAUACGUGGAACACUUUUUUUUUCGUCAAAAUGCGAAUCAUAAUUUAAUCCGUCAAUUUUUACUAAAUUGUAAUUGUCUUUUUUUUUUUAUAAACAGAGAUAGCAGGUAACCCAAGAAAAAAAAAUGUCUAGCAGAACAUAUUACGCAUCCUCGAAACUACUAUGACCUAUAAAACUAGAUGAUAAAAAAAUUGGUUUUAUCAUACUGGCACACUUGUAGAUGUUCCAUAAUUCAUGUAAAUUUACUUCAGAUGAAUUGUAGUUUUUGUGUUCAAAUUCAUAUAAAAACGAAAUGAUUUAAGUUUCGUUCUUUGAAUAUCGCCAUACAGAAAUAAAAUAGAACAAGGGGAGUACUUUUCUAGGUCUCUAUUUGAUAUUUUAUCAGUAACAAUUUGAAAAUAGUCAUAACUCAUACACGUAGUAGUAGGUGGAAAUGUUUCUGAUUGAAUUCGGCAUAAAAAUAUUUUUAUGGAAAAAAAGUUUCUUCUAGUUUUGGUUUAUAAGUGGAUCAAUUUUUGUGGAAAAAAAGUUUCUGCUAGUUUUGGUUUCUAAGUGGAUCAUUCCCUAGCGCUCUACUAAAUGAUUUAAUUUUAUAUAAAGAAGAUGAAAUUAUAAGAAAAAAGAGAAAAAAGAAAAAGACUAGAGAUCUAAAGAAGGGAAAACUUAAAGUAUGUGGUAAUAACUUCUUUUAUUCAUCACAUAAUCUCUGCAUUUUGCAAGGAGAUUGAAACUGAGCAAACAUACACAAAGACAUAAAAGUAAAAAUACAAAUAUAAAUAGAGUACAAACAAUAUCACUAAUAACUUAGAGAACAUGAAGCUACAAAAGAACUUCGCCUCCCGUGGGGCUUAUUGUUUACUCUUUUUUCUUCUUUUUGGCAUUGCCUCUCGAAAUGGAAAAUGCCUUUCCUUGAGCUCAACAUUCUGCUUUUCCUGCAUAAGAAUAUAAUAUUGUCAAUGAGAACAUAUAGUAACUGAUUAAUAAACCUAAUAAGUAGGAGAUAGCAUAGGCUUAUAUAUUAAUGCGUUUGCAUGAAGAAAUUGUGCAACUUGUAUUGAUUUGCAUUUAGACAAAUCAUUUUUAAGAAUUUUAGUUUGGCUUAAUUACCUUAGAUUUGAUGUUGUUGUUUCUUAGUGAUGGUAGGGAGGAGGUGGAGACUUGUAAACCGGAGUUGGUGGUGGUGGAGACUUGUAUACUGGUGCAGGAUGGUGUGGUGUUGGUGAAGGAUGGUAUGGAUUCACUGGUGGUGGUGACUUGUAAACGGGUGUUGGUGGUGGUGGAGAUUUGUAUACUGGUGCAGGGUGGUAUGACUUCACUGGUGGUGGUGGUGACUGGUAAACGGGUGUUGGUGGUGGUGGAGACUUAUAAACUGGUGCAGGAUGAUAUGGCUUCACUGGUGAUGGUGGUGACUUGUAAACGGGUGUUGGUGGUGGUGGAGACUUAUAAAUUGGUGUGGGAUGAUAUGGUGUUGGUGGAGGAUAGUAUGGCCUCUUAGGUGGUGGUGGUGACUUGUAAACUGGAGUUGGUGGUGGUGGCGACUUGUACACUGGAGUGUGUGGCGGGUAGUAUGGCUUUUUGGGUGGUGGUGGGGACUUGUAAACUGGAGUUGGGGGUGGUGGAGACUUGUAAACUGGGGUGUGUGGAGGGUAGUGUGGUGGUGACUUGUAAACUGGAGUCGGGGGUGGUGGAGACUUGUAAACUGGGGUGUGUGGAGGAUAAUGUGGCUUCUUUGGUGGUGGUGGGGACUUGUAAACUGGAGUGUGUGGAGGAUAGUGUGGCUUCUUCGGUGGUGGUGGUGACUUGUAAACAGGAGUUGGUGGUGGUGGCGACUUGUGAACUGGUGCGGGAUGAUAAGGUGUUGGUGAAGGGUGGUAUGGCUUCUUAGGUGGUGGUGGAGAUUUGUAAACAGGAUGAUGAUGGUGUGGUGGAGGGGACUUAUAUACUGGGUGGUGAUGGUUUGGUGGAGGAGACUUAUAUACUGGGUGGUGGGGUGGAGAUGGAUAGACAUGCACUGGUGGAG
This 26489-nucleotide long non-coding RNA is filed under the name Capsicum annuum. RNAcentral describes it as "long non-coding RNA (CANN_LNC020227)". The record is from RNAcentral. Lineage: Eukaryota; Viridiplantae; Streptophyta; Magnoliopsida; Solanales; Solanaceae.